GCUCUGAAUACCUGUAGUUAGAUAAAGUACAAGUCGUAACAAGGUCACCGUAGGAGAACCUGCUGUGGGAUCAUUA
RNAcentral lists this ribosomal RNA (76 nucleotides) under Ecytonucleospora hepatopenaei. Its description in RNAcentral is "Enterocytozoon hepatopenaei partial 18S ribosomal RNA". It matches the Rfam family "Eukaryotic small subunit ribosomal RNA", at positions 1756 to 1831 of the family's 1831-position model. The record is from RNAcentral. Lineage: Eukaryota; Fungi; Microsporidia; Enterocytozoonidae.